UACGGAGGAUCCAAGCGUUAUCCGGAUUAUUGGGUUAAGGUGCGUAGGCGGCCUAUUAAGUCAGGGUGAAAGACGGUAGCUCAACUAUCGCAGUGCCUUUGAUACUGAUGGGCUUGAAUAUACUAGAGGUAGGCGGAAUGUGACAAGUAGCGGUGAAAUGCAUAGAUAUGUCACAGAACACCGAUUGCGAAGGCAGCUUACUAUGGUAUUGAUUGACGCUGGAGGCACGAAAGCGUGGGAUCAAACAGG
This 249-nucleotide ribosomal RNA is filed under the name uncultured bacterium. RNAcentral describes it as "partial 16S ribosomal RNA". It matches the Rfam family "Bacterial small subunit ribosomal RNA", at positions 524 to 776 of the family's 1533-position model. The record is from RNAcentral.